GGAUGAACCCUUGGAGAGACUCGAAAUAGAGCACCGAAGGAGAAAGUCGUAUGACGAAACUCUCAGGUAAAAGGACAGGGGACAGGUA
Molecule: regulatory RNA element, 88 nt
Organism: Clostridium magnum DSM 2767
Lineage: Bacteria; Bacillati; Bacillota; Clostridia; Eubacteriales; Clostridiaceae
Rfam family: Glycine riboswitch aptamer
About the family: This family represents the bacterial glycine riboswitch.
Source: Rfam